This is a long non-coding RNA of Piliocolobus tephrosceles (Ugandan red Colobus), 3084 nucleotides long. Lineage: Eukaryota; Metazoa; Chordata; Mammalia; Primates; Cercopithecidae. The record is from Ensembl.
UAAAGAUAUUUUAGUUAGUUUAAAAAAAUUGAAUAUAUUAGAAACUAAAAGAAAGUAUGAAAAGAAAUAUACUUUUAUAAAUAAUGAUAAGAAAGAAACAGAACAAAAUAAUCAGAAUUCUAAUCAUAAGCAUGUUAAAAAAAAAAAAAAAAAACUGUCACCUCUUUCAUUAAUUGUAACAGUAGAUGAUACUUGUCAUUUUUUAAAAAAAGCUAUAAAAAAAGAAUAUAUAAUAAAAUUAAAUUAUAUUUAUUAUCCUUAUAAUAAAUGUCAAUAUAUUAUUCCAUUUUAUGAUAAUGAUUAUAUUUUUAAUAAAAAUGUCGCGCUGGUUAAUUCUUUUUAUUGUUUACAUGGAAAAAUUAAUUGUCCUAAAAUAACUUUAUUCCCGACUAGGAUUUACCCUAUUCAGCGAUUUUUUUUUGGUAAUGUUAACACCUGAUAUUGUAUGUUCUGUUUGUUGCUCAGUUUGUUGUUCCCCAUUUUGUACGUGUACCAUAGAUAUACAUAUAUAUAUAUAUAUAUAUAUAUAUUUACAUUCACCUAUUUUCUAAUAUUUUUCCCCCCUUGUUAGUAAACGAAUACGUAGAACUAGAACUUAUAGAAAAGAAUAACUCAGGUAAGAAUGAACAAAGUAUUAUUAUUAGCAACAUGUCAAUAAGUAAUAACAUUUUGAAUAGUUUAAAAUUAUCUUUAAGUGAAUUAGAUAUUUGUAUUCCUAUUUUUGUUGUAAUUGAUAAAACUUGUAACAUAUAUAAAGGAUAUUAUUAUACUAGUGAUUAUACUUAUUAUAAAUGUGUGAAUCCUAAUAUUUUUGUUCAUAAUAAAGACCAUGAUGAAAUUAGUAGCAAACAUGAUGAAAGCGAUAAAAACGGAAGCGACAGUAGCGAAAGUAUGUAUAGUUAUAGUAGUAGCAAUAAGAGCAGUAACAACAGUAUAAGUAAAAGUAGUACUGAUGGGAUGAGUAUAUAUAAAGAAAACAAUAACUAUACCCCUAUAUACAAAGGACUCGGUUUUGAAGUAAAUUAUCAUUCUUUUCUAUUCUAUAACUAUUUUAAUUGUUUUUCAUUUGAACACUUAGUAGCAUUAUUUUGUUUAUUUAUUCAUUUGACUAAUAUAAAAGGAAAAGCUAUUUUUAAUAUUACAGUUAGAGUAAAAAAUAUUUAUAUAAUUGAUAAUCCGAAUGGUUAUAAUGUUUCCAAUCCGGUACAAUUAAGUAAUAAGAAAUAUAAAUUUUUUAAAAUGUUAAUUCAGAAAAAUGAAGAAAAGCAUAGUUUUUGUUCCAUAGAUAAAAUAGGUUCUAAUGUGAAUAAAAAAAAAAAACAAAUGAAUAUACUUUUUUUUUAUAAAAAUAAAUACAACAUGAGUAAUUAUGAUAAAAACAAUUACGCAUAUAUAUAUUUAAAUAAUAUAUUUUCUUAUGUAAAGAAUAAAGAAUAUUAUAAUAAUAAAAUGUCAUUUUGUUAUUUCUACCGACCGAAUGGUUUGUUAUGUCAUUAUGAUAAUAAUGACGAUGAUGACGAUAAUAAUAAUAAUAAUAAUAACAAUAAUAACAAUAAUAAUAAUAAUAAUCUUCGUAAACAGAUAACUGUUGAUGAUAAACAUGACGACAAUGGUAGUAGUAAUAACAAACGAAUAUCAUUAAGUAACUAUUUGUAUAGCAUAAAAAAAGACGUGUUGUGCAAGCCACAAUAUCUUAUACCCUAUGUAAAAAAAAUAAAAUUAAAAAAACAAUCAAUUACAAACAAAAAAUAUUAUAAUGGUGGUUAUAACUAUGAAUAUAUUUUUUCUGACACCUUCAUGUUAUUUCAUUCUUAUUUAUUAUAUACAAAUAGUUAUAAUUAUUUAAAUAGUGAAAAAGAGUUAAUAAAAAAUAAAAAAAAACAAAAAAAGACAUUUGAAUAUAUUAAUAAAUUAUAUAGUAAUAUAAGAAAUCAUAAUAAAAGUUUAAUCAUAAAUGAAACAAAUCCAUAUUUAUCUAUUUAUGUGUUAAAUUUGAUUAGCAAUUUAGAGUAUAAAAUUGUUAACAGAACAAAUUUUUACCCACACGGUGAUAGCGUUAGAACCAGUGAUAACGUUACAGCCAGUAAUAACGUUAGAACUGGUAAGAACAACAGGUUGAAUAAUAAAUGGAAAAUCAGAUUCAUAAAAAAUACCAAAUAUAAAGGAAAAAAUAGUUAUUUAUUAAAAAAUAUUUUAAAGUUAUAUUAUAAUGAACUAAUGGAACAAAAAAAGAAACACAUUGGUAGUGCUAGUUUUAGAAGUAUCAAUAGUAAUGGUAAUGGUAAUGUUAAUGUUAAUAAUAAUGUUAAUAAUAAUGUUAAUAAUAAUGGUAAUAAUAAUGGUAAUAAUAAUGGUAAUAAUAAUGGUAAUAAUAAUGGUUAUGAUAAUGGUUAUGAUAAUGGUAAUAAUAAUGUUAAUAAUAAUGGUAAUAAUAAUGGUAAUAAUAAUGGUAAUAAUAAUGGUAAUAAUAAUGGUUAUGAUAAUGGUUAUGAUAAUGGUUAUGAUAAUGGUUAUGAUAAUAAUAAUAGUAAAAGUGCUGAUGGAGAAAAUGGAGACUAUAAUACAAUGUUUUCUAAUACCUGUAUAUAUAAAUUUAUUUCGUUAAAAAAAAAAAAAUGGUUAAUAGACCCAAACAUAAGUUUUUAUUCCUGCUUUAACAUUGAAGAUGGUUUUACAAGAUUAAAUAUAGACAACAUUAUUAACAGUAUGUUUAGUGAUGACAAGAAAAAAGUAUUUGAGUUAGGUGAUAAUCAUAAAUAUAAAUAUGAUGAUACACAUAGUGAUGGUGAUACUGAUCAUAGUGAUAGUAAUAGCAGUGGUAGUGAAAAUGAAAAUUACGACAAAAACUAUUAUAGCAGAAACGACAGUAGUUACCAUAGCAUAUAUACUAGCAACCACGCCAACAAUCAUGCGAGCAGCCACAAUAAUAAUAUCAACACUAAUAAUGUUAGCAUAGUAUAUAACAACGGUACUACUUGUGAUAGCAGUAACAGUAAUAGUAACAGUAACAGCAGAAGCAACAGUAACAGUAACAGCAACAACAACAGCAACAUCAAAAGCAACAACAACAGCAACAUCAAAAGC